CAAAGGCGUUUAAGUACCUUAACGGGGUGGGAAGGGUAGAAUAUAGAGAUGAUGACGAUGCGAUAAUAUCAUAAAGUGACCCCUCUUUGGGAAUAUCUGCGGGACAUUGUAUCGAAUGAUCCAUAUUAUAGUCAAACCUAGGACCUCUUUCUCUUUUGCUUGCAUUAUUUAAACAUUUUUCCUAAAGUAACGCUUUUCAAAUUAAUUCUCCCUCCCGCUUUUAUCAUGCCUUUCCCAUUUUCAAAACUCUCAAGUUAUUUGAAUGCUUUAUAUGCAAACCUUACUUUUUUAUUUUCCUUAUCUCCCAUUAAAGUCACUAUUAGCACGGCCGGUAACCACACUAAUGGAUCUUGAGGGGUGCCUAACACCUUCCCCUCAAGAUAAUUUCAAGUCCUUACCCAAACUCCGGUUUUCUUUCAAAAUACUCUCUUCUUCUUAAAAGUGUCC
Molecule: long non-coding RNA, 447 nt
Filed under: Nicotiana benthamiana
Lineage: Eukaryota; Viridiplantae; Streptophyta; Magnoliopsida; Solanales; Solanaceae
Description: long non-coding RNA (NBEN_LNC017306)
Source: RNAcentral